CUUGAACAAAAAAAAGUAUUAAAUCAUUUAAAUACAAAUCAAGAGACAUGUUUAUAGGACAAAGUAAACUACUUUAAACUAUUCAGAGAGAAAGUUAAAUGUAUUAUAGUUGCCAUGUUCAGAGAUACAGUGCCUUUAGAGUAGAAAGCACUGUAUCCAUACCCCUUGAAAUACUCCACAUUUUGUUGUUACAGCAGGGCUAUUCAAUUCUUACCCUACGAGGUCCGAAGCCUGCUGGGUUUCUGUUCUACAGAUAAUUAAUUACACCCACCUGGUGUCCCAGGUCUAAACCAGUCCCUGAUUAGAGGGGAAUCACCCACCUGGUGUCCCAGGUCUAAAUCAGUCCCUGAUUAGAGGGGAAUCACCCACCUGGUGUCCCAGGUCUAAAUCAGUCCCUGAUUAGAGGGGAAUCACCCACCUGGUGUCCCAGGUCUAAACCAGUCCCUGAUUAGAGGGGAAUCACCCACCUGGUGUCCCAGGUCUAAACCAGUCCCUGAUUAGAGGGGAAUCACCCACCUGGUGUCCCAGGUCUAAAUCAGUCCCUGAUUAGAGCGGAAUCACCCACCUGGUGUCCCAGGUCUAAACCAGUCCCUGAUUAGAGGGGAAUCACCCACCUGGUGUCCCAGGUCUAAACCAGUCCCUGAUUAGAGGGGAAUCACCCACCUGGUGUCCCAGGUCUAAACCAGUCCCUGAUUAGAGGGGAAUCACCCACCUGGUGUCCCAGGUCUA
This is a long non-coding RNA of Oncorhynchus tshawytscha (Chinook salmon), 729 nucleotides long. NCBI's taxonomy places the organism in Eukaryota, Metazoa, Chordata, Actinopteri, Salmoniformes, Salmonidae. The record is from Ensembl.